This 1406-nucleotide long non-coding RNA is filed under the name Vitis vinifera (wine grape). RNAcentral describes it as "long non-coding RNA (VVIN_LNC004597)". The record is from RNAcentral. Lineage: Eukaryota; Viridiplantae; Streptophyta; Magnoliopsida; Vitales; Vitaceae.
AUUAGCCUCGCCCACACGUAGCUGCAGGCUCUCCCUUGCUUCACCCAGCUUCUCAACUUGAUCCCGGAUUUCCGCCAUGUUGCAAUUGUAAUGAAAGAGAUAACCUAGCUGAUGUCCAACUGGAGCAACCAAGUAUUCAGCAACUUUUGCUGCAAUGGAAAUAACAAUCUCCACCAUUUUCUACUUUUGAUUUUUUCUUUUCCCUGGGUAAAUUGGUGAGAAUUAAGCUAAAGCAGAUAACAGAAAAAGAAAUAAUAAGGACAGAGCGCUAUUGGAUUGAAUGUGAGAAAUGAAAAACAAGGAGAUGAAAGGUUUUAGCUAUCAAAGGAGAAGAGUUUUGCUCCAAGAGGAGAGACAAGCACCAGGAAUGCGAAAGGACCGAAAGUAGGAAUGGACAACAAACAAGGACAAAAGGGCUCCGGAAUCAAAAGAGAGAUAACCCAGCUGACGUCCAAUUGGAUCUACCAAGUAUUUAGUUGAGUUUUCUUUUUCAGGUUAUGGCGAAAUAGCUAGAUGAGGAAAGCAAACUGGAGAGAGGAUAAUGAUGUACUUGGAUUGAACGAGAGAAACGAAAUUAAUGAAGGAAAUGAAGGCACCAGUGUAUUUGUUAAUCAAAGAAGGAAAGAUGGUAAUAGGAUGGAUAGUGUUGAGGAGUGAGAACGAGCAUGAUGGCAAGCGUAGAGGGCAGUAGUAAUGGAUGGUGAGUAGGAAAUGAAAGGCAGAAGCAAAUGAAAGCAGCAAUAAGAAGAAACUAAAAGAAGAAAGCGCAAGAAAUGAAAGGAGAAGAGUAUUCUGUUCCAAGUAGAGGGGUGGUGAGUAGGAAAAUGAAAAGAAGAAACAGUGGUGAAAUUGAAAACGAGUGAAGUUAGGAAUGGAUGAUAAAGAGGCAAAUGGGUCGAGAGUGAAGUGAUGGAGAAAGCUCAAGGAAUGCUUGUGAUUUGAUUCAGUGUGAGAAAACGAGCACAAGGAAAGCUAAUGUUUUGAAAGCAAAAAAGGCAGAGCAAGCAGGUCCCUGAUGUAAGGUUGGAUGUGAAGACUGAAAACGAGAUUAGAGUGGUAGGUACGAGAGAGAGCAGCAGCAACAGGGUUCCAAGCAGAGAGAAAUGAGAAUACACCACCAAAAUUCAUUAAUGAUUUGAGUGUAUUUAGGCAUUUUUAACAAAAACAAGUAUUUUGCAGCCUUGGAUUCCAGUGGCCAUUAUUCACCUGCAUCUCACUCCCACAACUCAUUCUAGACUCAGUGUCACCCGUCUGAACUAAUAUUUUUUAAAGCGUAGUAAAUUAUAGGUAUUGAAGACGACAAGAGGGAAAUAUUAUUAGAACCUUUUUAAAAACCUUUUUAUAUUUUUAAAAAAUCAUCUAAAUUAUCUCUCAUCUUACUCCCCUUCCUCCUUUAUUCCCAUUUA